Molecule: ribosomal RNA, 531 nt
Filed under: Ambrosiella beaveri
Lineage: Eukaryota; Fungi; Ascomycota; Sordariomycetes; Microascales; Ceratocystidaceae
Description: eukaryotic LSU rRNA
Rfam family: Eukaryotic large subunit ribosomal RNA
Source: RNAcentral
UGACCUCGGAUCAGGUAGGAAUACCCGCUGAACUUAAGCAUAUCAAUAAGCGGAGGAAAAGAAACCAACAGGGAUUGCCCUAGUAACGGCGAGUGAAGCGGCAACAGCUCAAAUUUGAAAUCUGGCUACUUUGUAGUCCGAGUUGUAAUUUGUAGAGGAUGCUUUUGGUGAAGUGCUUUCUGAGUUCCCUGGAACGGGACGCCAGAGAGGGUGAGAGCCCCGUACAGUUAGCAACUGAUCCUUUGUAUAGCUCCUUCGACGAGUCGAGUAGUUUGGGAAUGCUGCUCUAAAUGGGAGGUAUAUCUCUUCUAAAGCUAAAUAUAGGCUAGAGACCGAUAGCGCACAAGUAGAGUGAUCGAAAGAUGAAAAGCACUUUGAAAAGAGAGUUAAACAGCACGUGAAAUUGUUGAAAGGGAAGCGCCUAUGACCAGACUUGUCUCUAUCAGUUUUGGUAGUUUUCGGACUGCUUUACUCUGUUAGUACAGGCCAACAUCAGUUUGUUGUCGGGGAGAAAGGCUUAGGGAAUGUGGC